GAUGAACGCUGGCGGCGUGCCUAAUACAUGCAAGUCGAACGAGGUGCUUUUGUAGCAAUACGAGAGUAUCCUAGUGGCGAACGGGUGAGUAACGCGUGGAUGACCUGCCCCAAAGUGUGGGAUAACAGUCCGAAAGGAUUGCUAAUACCUCAUGUGGUUAUCGGUUUUAGAAAGCGAUAACUAAAGCAGCAAUGCGCUUUGGGAGGGAUCUGCGUCCCAUCAGCUAGUUGGUGAGGUAACGGCUCACCAAGGCGACGACGGGUAGGGGACCUGAGAGGGUGGCCCCCCCACAAUGGAACUGAAACACGGUCCAUACACCUACGGGUGGCAGCAGUAGGGAAUAUUGCUCAAUGGGACGAAAGCCUGAAGCAGCAACGCCGCGUGUGCGAUGGAACGG
Molecule: ribosomal RNA, 397 nt
Filed under: uncultured bacterium
Lineage: Bacteria
Description: bacterial SSU rRNA
Rfam family: Bacterial small subunit ribosomal RNA
Source: RNAcentral